GAGAGUUAAACAGUACGUGAAAUUGUUGAAAGGGAAACGAUUGAAGCCAGUCGUACCUUCGGGUAAUCAGCCUUUCGGGUGCGAUUCUGUGGAGUUUGAGGAGCUUUAACACCUUCAUGCUUUGCAUAUUCGUGCUCUUGGGUGUACUUGCCCGUGUGGUUGGUUAACAUCAAUUUCGGUCGUCAUAAAAUGAUUGGAGGAAUGUAGCUUUGGUCUCGUAUCGAAGUGUUAUAGACUCUGGUAGAUGUGACGAUUGGGAUUGAGGAUUGCAACGGAUACCCUUCGGGGCUACUCGUCUGAUCUCUGAAGGUUGCUCCGGUACCGAAAGCGUGCUUACGGUCAUCGAAAGUGAUUUUUAAAAGGUUAGAACGGGUUAAAUUCGUUAAGGAUGUUGACGUAAUGGCUUUAAACGA
RNAcentral lists this ribosomal RNA (413 nucleotides) under uncultured Glomeraceae. RNAcentral's name for it is "partial 28S ribosomal RNA". Lineage: Eukaryota; Fungi; Glomeromycota; Glomeromycetes; Glomerales; Glomeraceae. The record is from RNAcentral.